Gallus gallus (chicken) is the source of this 2296-nucleotide long non-coding RNA. NCBI's taxonomy places the organism in Eukaryota, Metazoa, Chordata, Aves, Galliformes, Phasianidae. The record is from Ensembl.
UUAAAGUUAUUGCUAUAUUUAUCAGCUCAUAACAUCACCACCAUGCACAAUUCUGUGAUUUAGAUAUAAUACAAAUAUUUCAAAAUAUCAGAUCUGAAAAAAUGCUUUCCAUUUUUAUUACAGGCCUAUUCAAUAAAAUAUAUACCUUUGGUAUAAUAUGUUUUAUUGCAUAUAGCAAGCCAUUUUCAUUAUCAUCAAAAAUAUACUUUAGCACUUGUGAAUUACAGGGGACUAAUUCCUCAGAAAACCCACAAUUUUGAAUCAGCUCAUAAAUACAUAGACAUGAUAAGCAUAUACAUUUUCUGUUGUCAAUGGCAAGUGAAAAAUAUUUGAGAAUUCUAAAUUUACUGAUGAUUAAGAUAACUGUCUUUAUGCUAAUUUAUUAGAAGCAUCGUAAGUCAUCAUUUUCAUUGAAAAUACACUUUAAAUAAGGCAAGUUUGUAAGAGUUUGAAUAGUGUUUUUUCUUACAUGAAGAAUUUAUUUUCUUAUACGGUGGUCAUGCCUCCCUCCCUAUUCUGAAAUCAGUACACACAAAGCAACAAAACAGAGCAAAGCAUCCUCUGAGGAUGAAAUCACAGUGAAAAAAACCUGUGAUGUAAUUUAUGCUGUUAAUCAUGUUGUAUCAUAGUGCAUCAUAUGAUGAUACCACAAUAGAAGAGAGCUGGUUAUUUACACAGUGGUUCUGACUGGCAAAUGUAAACAAAGAUGAGUCAAGCACCUCGGCAAUGCUUUGACUGGCUAGUUAAUCUGCAGGAUUUAAAGAUGUUCAUUAGUUCCAGCUUGACAUAACCAAGUGAGAACAUGAGGCACCUAUGUUUAAGGAAAGAAGCUGGUCAUUGACGAAAUGUCAGUGGUGUUUUCAAGUAAAUAUGAAUGUGUUCUCUUUAGUUCAUUGCUAAUACUAAGUCAAAUGUACACUAAUCUAUGAUCCAAGAAAGAGGAGAUGCUGUUAGAUUUCUAGACAGUUUAAGGAAUUAUAUAGAGUGGCUGUUGGCUUCUAAGACAUAUAAAUUGAAGAAAAUCUCCAGUACAGAAAGUAAUUAUUCAAAUAAAUUGCUUAGAUAAGUCUGCUUUUCAAUAUAGAAAACUUCUACAGGCCAUUCAGAAACUCUUAGUACAGUUGAAGUGACUGGAAUUGGCUUGGAAAAGCUCAAGUGUAAUUGAACAUUGGUACAGGUAUGAACACUUGAGUACUAAAAGGUAUGACAUUUGCAGUAUCUUUCCAGAUUUAAAUAUUCCUUCUCUGUAAGGUCAGCUUGAAGGUGAAUCCUAUUGUCUUCCUCCAUCAGAGGACUUCUUUAUCAACAGAGAUGCAUUGUUGCAGGAGACAUGCUGUCUAGGUAUACUUUCUCAUUUCACAGUGUACUUUCUCUCAAUGAAAAGGCACCUGCUGUCUGUGGAAAGUCCACAUAACAGGUCCUGUCCUGAGAGUCAUGUAUUUCUCCUUCUAGCAGCAUCAUAAGUAGCAUUUUCUCUUUAUUAUUUAGGUGUGUUUAAUUGUUCUAGGUGAGUAUUAUUUUUAUUACUGUGGUAAACAAUGAUUAUUUUGAAAAGCUUAUCUAUGAGAGAUUACAAAAUAACCUAUAAAUCUUAUACUAUGCCCAGGAGAUUGAGUUGAGAAAGAUGGCACAUGUUCAUUCUGUAAAUAUUUGUAAUUUCCCAGGGUGUAAUGAGAUUAUGACUCAACUAACCAGACAAAAUGCCAUCCUUACCCACUGUCACUUUUAAAAGCAUAAGUCUUCUUGCAAAGGCUCAGAAAUUCCGUACCGCAUAGAAGUGAGAAAUACUGGUUCUUCCUUGCUUAUGUUUCUAGGAAGUGUCUCUCCAGAACCUCUUUUGGGGAACUUUUCCAAUUUUGUGAAUUACUAUGUCUUCAGAAACAAGUGGUGUUUUGUAUUUUUCUCCACCUCUCCCGAAUGGCUUGAGAAGAUGAAUCAUAUCACUUUUCUUUCUUUCCAGUUUAUCCUCCCUUCACUGUAGCUUUGAUAAUAAUGACUCAGUUACAUUUCUUCUCCUAAAAUCUAUUUUGAAUUUGAGAAUCAGUUGGGAAUGCCAUUACUAGCAGGUCUGGUAGGGUUUCAUGUAAAUAAUUCUCAGAGCAUAUUUCCUAAAAUACGAUCAGAUUUCACCUUCCAAAAUAAGUUGUCAGAUAUUUUUGAAUUGGGAUCAUAACUUGGCCAAAAGACGCAGGCAGAGAGUGGUGGGAAUAGUUUUGUGGCUUCUUUCAUUGAGCCAGGUAAUAUGUAUAUUUCCGUUUCAUUCUAUCUCUAAUUCGUUAUCUCCAUUUGAGAGGAG